GGGCCCGCACAAGCGGUGGAGCAUGUGGUUUAAUUCGAUGAUACGCGAGGAACCUUACCAGGGCUUAAAUGUAAGUUGCAUAGAUCAGAGAUGGUCUUUUCUUCGGACUACUUACAAGGUGCUGCAUGGUUGUCGUCAGCUCGUGCCGUGAGGUGUCAGGUUAAGUCCUAUAACGAGCGCAACCCCUGUCGUUAGUUACCAGCAAGUAAUGUUGGGUACUCUAGCGAGACUGCCGGUGCAAACCGUGAGGAAGGUGGGGAUGACGUCAAAUCAUCACGGCCCUUACGUCCUGGGCUACACACGUGCUACAAUGGCCGGUACAGAGAGCAGCCACUACGCGAGUAGGAGCGAAUCUUCAAAGCCGGUCUCAGUUCGGAUCGCAGUCUGCAACUCGACUGCGUG
Molecule: ribosomal RNA, 402 nt
Filed under: uncultured bacterium
Lineage: Bacteria
Description: bacterial SSU rRNA
Rfam family: Bacterial small subunit ribosomal RNA
Source: RNAcentral